GACGACGCUGGCGGCGUGCCUAACACAUGCAAGUCGAGCGGAGGAUGCGGCGUAGUAAUACAAAGUAUCUUUAGCGGCGGACGGGUGAGUAACACGUGGGUAACCUGCCUCAGAGUGGGGGAUAGCCUUUCGAAAGGAAGAUUAAUACCGCAUAAGAUUGUAGCGUCACAUGGCGCAGCAAGAAAAGGAGCAAUCCGCUUUGAGAUGGACCCGCGGCGCAUUAGCUAGUUGGUGAGGUAACGGCUCACCAAGGCCACGAUGCGUAGCCGACCUGAGAGGGUGAUCGGCCACAUUGGAACUGAGACACGGUCCAGACUCCUACGGGAGGCAGCAGUGGGGAAUAUUGCACAAUGGGCGAAAGCCUGAUGCAGCAACGCCGCGUGAGUGAUGAAGGCCUUCGGGUCGUAAAGCUCUUUGAUCAGGGAUGAUAAUGACAGUACCUGAAAAACAAGCCACGGCUAACUACGUG
RNAcentral lists this ribosomal RNA (469 nucleotides) under uncultured bacterium. RNAcentral's name for it is "bacterial SSU rRNA". It matches the Rfam family "Bacterial small subunit ribosomal RNA", at positions 33 to 507 of the family's 1533-position model. The record is from RNAcentral.